Molecule: ribosomal RNA, 503 nt
Filed under: uncultured bacterium
Lineage: Bacteria
Description: partial 16S ribosomal RNA
Rfam family: Bacterial small subunit ribosomal RNA
Source: RNAcentral
AACGAACGCUGGCGGCACGUUUUAAGCAUGCAAGUCGAACGGCAGUGGGGGCAACCCCAUGAGAGUGGCGAACGGGUGAGUAACACGUAGGUGAUCUGCCUUUGGGUUGGGGAUAGCUUGUGGAAACACAGGGUAAUACCGAAUGAGCUGACGAGGCUUUGGCCAUGUUAGUAAAGGUGCUACGGCACCGCCUAGAGAGGAGCCUGCGGCUGAUUAGCUAGUUGGUGGGGUAAAGGCCUACCAAGGCGACGAUCAGUAGCCGGCCUGAGAGGGUGUACGGCCACACUGGAACUGAGACACGGUCCAGACUCCUACGGGAGGCAGCAGCUAAGAAUCUUCCGCAAUGGGCGAAAGCCUGACGGAGCGAUGCCGCGUGAUCGAUGAAGGUCGAGAGAUUGUAAAGAUCUUUUCCAACUGAGGAAUAAGUGGACCAGGGAAUGGGUUCAUGAUGACGUUAAGUUGGGAAUAAGCCCCGGCUAAUUACGUGCCAGCCGCCGCCGUAA